CUCUGUGACUCCUACGGGAGGCAGCAGUGGGGAAUAUUGCACAAUGGGGGAAACCCUGAUGCAGCCAUGCCGCGUGUGUGAAGAAGGCCUUCGGGUUGUAAAGCACUUUCAGUAGGGAGGAAGGUAGUGUAGUUAACACCUGCAUUAUUGACGUUACCUACAGAAGAAGCACCGGCUAACUCCGUGCCAGCAGCCGCGGUAAUACGGAGGGUGCGAGCGUUAAUCGGAAUUACUGGGCGUAAAGCGCAUGCAGGCGGCCUGUUAAGUCAGAUGUGAAAGCCCGGGGCUUAACCUCGGAAUUGCAUUUGAAACUGGCAGGCUAGAGUCUUGUAGAGGGGGUAGAAUUUCAGGUGUAGCGGUGAAAUGCGUAGAGAUCUGAAGGAAUACCAGUGGCGAAGGCGGCCCCCUGGACAAAGACUGACGCUCAGAUGCGAAAGCGUGGGGAGCAAACAGGAUUAGAUACCCUGGUAG
This 471-nucleotide ribosomal RNA is filed under the name uncultured bacterium. RNAcentral's name for it is "bacterial SSU rRNA". It matches the Rfam family "Bacterial small subunit ribosomal RNA", at positions 328 to 793 of the family's 1533-position model. The record is from RNAcentral.